CGUAGCUCAGCUGGAUAGAGUACCUGGCUACGAACCAGGCGGUCAGAGGUUCGAAUCCUCUCGAGCGCGCCA
RNAcentral lists this transfer RNA (72 nucleotides) under Vibrio cholerae. Its description in RNAcentral is "tRNA-Arg". It matches the Rfam family "tRNA". From Rfam's summary of the family: Transfer RNA (tRNA) molecules are approximately 80 nucleotides in length. Their secondary structure includes four short double-helical elements and three loops (D, anti-codon, and T loops). Further hydrogen bonds mediate the characteristic L-shaped molecular structure. tRNAs have two regions of fundamental functional importance: the anti-codon, which is responsible for specific mRNA codon recognition, and the 3' end, to which the tRNAs corresponding amino acid is attached (by aminoacyl-tRNA synthetases). tRNAs cope with the degeneracy of the genetic code in two manners: having more than one tRNA (with a specific anti-codon) for a particular amino acid; and 'wobble' base-pairing, i.e. permitting non-standard base-pairing at the 3rd anti-codon position. The record is from RNAcentral. RNAcentral also lists the same sequence under 1 other name. Lineage: Bacteria; Pseudomonadati; Pseudomonadota; Gammaproteobacteria; Vibrionales; Vibrionaceae.